CUCUUAUUUUAACCCUUUGCGGACGAGUGUUGGCAAAUAGCCUCCUAAGUCUUUUUACCGUUGCGGUCAGCAUAUAGUCGCCCGAAUCUGUUCACACUUCACUUAUUUUGAGGUAUGUGACAUACGUCUAUUUUUCUGAGAGAUGAUCUUAUGCGUACUUACGCAUGGGUAUAGUAAAACUAAACAAUAUUAUGAUUUUGAUGAAAGAAAAUUAUAGAUCUUUAGAAAUCUUAUCUUCCGUUUGACGUAAACUCGCGAUGUAGGAUGAUGGUCGAGUCUGAACGAAUUUCAGUCUUUCAAUGGCAUUACCAGACGAAUCAGUAAGCUUUUUAUAUAUUUUAUAUAUUUUUCAUAAUACCUUAUACACGAUGCCUAAAAGAUCCAGAAAGGACAUAUUCGAUAGUGA
RNAcentral lists this unclassified non-coding RNA (406 nucleotides) under Bombus terrestris (buff-tailed bumblebee). RNAcentral describes it as "misc RNA ENSBTSG00005023159.1". Lineage: Eukaryota; Metazoa; Arthropoda; Insecta; Hymenoptera; Apidae. The record is from RNAcentral.